This 793-nucleotide ribosomal RNA is filed under the name uncultured Methanosarcinaceae archaeon. RNAcentral's name for it is "bacterial SSU rRNA". It matches the Rfam family "Archaeal small subunit ribosomal RNA", at positions 85 to 879 of the family's 1478-position model. Lineage: Archaea; Methanobacteriati; Methanobacteriota; Methanomicrobia; Methanosarcinales; Methanosarcinaceae. The record is from RNAcentral.
ACUGCUCAGUAACACGUGGACAACCUGCCCAAAGGUCCGGGAUAACCCCGGGAAACUGGGGAUAAUAUUGGAUAAAUCACAAGUACUGGAAGGUUUUGUGGUUGAAACUUCCGGGGCCUUUGGAUGGGUCUGCGGCUGAUUAGGUUGUUGUCGGUGUAACGUACCGUCAAGCCUGUAAUCAGUACGGGUUGUGGGAGCAAGAGCCCGGAGAUGGAUUCUGAGAUACGAAUCCAGGCCCUACGGGGCGCAGCAGGCGCGAAAACUCUACAAUGCAGGUAACUGCGAUAGGGGAACAUCGAGUGAUACUCAUCUUGGGUGUCUGUCCUCCCGUCUAAAAAACGGGAGUUAGCAAGGGCCGGGCAAGACCGGUGUUAGCCGCCGUGGUAAUACCGGCGGCUCGAGUGGUGGCCGAUAUUAUUGAGUCUAAAGGGUCCGUAGCCGGCUUUGCAAGUCUUUUGGGAAAUCCAGCGGUUUAACCGUUGGGCGUCCGGGAGAUACUACAUUGCUUGGGACUGGGAGAGGUAGGAGGUACUCAGGGGGUAGGAGUGAAAUCCUGUAAUCCUUUGGGGACCGCCGGUGGCGAAGGCGUCCUACCAGAACAGGUCCGACGGUGAGGGACGAAAGCUAGGGGUAUGAACCGGAUUAGAUACCCGGGUAGUCCUAGCCGUAAACGAUGCUCGCUAGGUGUCACAACAAUCGUGAAUUGUUGUGGUGCCGUAGGGAAGCCGUGAAGCGAGCCACUUGGGAAGUACGACCGCAAGGUUGAAACUUAAAGGAAUUGGCGGGGGAGCAC